ACAAACCAAAUUAAGGUGAAACCGCGAAAGGCUCAUUAAAUCAGUUAUGGUUCCUUAGAUCGUACCCACAUUUACUUGGAUAACUGUGGUAAUUCUAGAGCUAAUACAUGCAAACAGAGUCCCGACCGGAGACGGAAGGGAUGCUUUUAUUAGAUCAAAACCGAUCGGUGUGCGCGUGUCGUCCGUACGCGGGCGGCCGUCGCCACCGCUAAUCAUGAUGAAUCUGAAUAACUUUUUGCUGAUCGCACGGUCCAGAACCGGCGACGCAUCUUUCAAAUGUCUGCCUUAUCAACUGUCGAUGGUAGGUUCUGCGCCUACCAUGGUUGUAACGGGUAACGGGGAAUCAGGGUUCGAUUCCGGAGAGGGAGCCUGAGAAACGGCUACCACAUCCAAGGAAGGCAGCAGGCGCGCAAAUUACCCACUCCCGGCACGGGGAGGUAGUGACGAAAAAUAACGAUACGGGACUCAUCCGAGGCCCCGUAAUCGGAAUGAGUACACUUUAAAUCCUUUAACAAGUAUCAAUUGGAGGGCAAGUCUGGUGCCAGCAGCCGCGGUAACUCCAGCUCCAAUAGCGUAUAUUAAAGUUGUUGCGGUUAAAAAGCUCGUAGUUGAAUCUGUGUCCCGCGCUGUCGGUUCAUCGCUCGCGGUGCUAACUGGCAUGCUGCGGGACGUAUUGCCGGUGGGCGACGGUCUACCCGGGGUCGUCGGAUGGAUGGAUGUCGUAUGGCGGGUUAGCGCUCGUCAUCACGCUCCGCAAUUCGCGCCCGGAUGACGGCCCAACAUGAAAAUCCUGCCGCGGUGCUCUUAGCUGAGUGUCGCAGCGGGCCGUCACUUUUACUUUGAACAAAUUAGAGUGCUUAAAGCAGGCUGAAAUUUUUGCCUGAAUAUUGUAUGCAUGGAAUAAUGGAAUAGGACCUCGGUUCUAUUUUGUUGGUUUUCGGAAAUCCGAGGUAAUGAUUAAUAGGGACAGAUGGGGGCAUUCGUAUUGCGACGUUAGAGGUGAAAUUCUUGGAUCGUCGCAAGACGGACAGAAGCGAAAGCAUUUGCCAAAAAUGUUUUCAUUAAUCAAGAACGAAAGUUAGAGGUUCGAAGGCGAUCAGAUACCGCCCUAGUUCUAACCAUAAACGAUGCCAGCUAGCGAUCCGCCGACGUUCCUCCGAUGACUCGGCGGGCAGCUUCCGGGAAACCAAAGCUUUUGGGUUCCGGGGGAAGUAUGGUUGCAAAGCUGAAACUUAAAGGAAUUGACGGAAGGGCACCACCAGGAGUGGAGCCUGCGGCUUAAUUUGACUCAACACGGGAAACCUCACCAGGCCCAGACACCGGAAGGAUUGACAGAUUGAUAGCUCUUUCUUGAUUCGGUGGGUGGUGGUGCAUGGCCGUUCUUAGUUGGUGGAGCGAUUUGUCUGGUUAAUUCCGAUAACGAACGAGACUCUAGCCUGCUAACUAGGCGUAAACAAUUUACCGGUAUCCCGAAGGCCCGGCGGUGUGCGUGUUGUUGCGGGUGUCGCGCGGUUGUUUUGCGUGGCUGCUUCAUGCUCGUGUUUCGGCACGGCGCAUGUUCGGUUCACGCAAGCCUCCCGUGCCCCGUAACGCCGUCAUUGUCCGCGGUUUUUACUACCGGCGUACUGCAAAUUCUUCUUAGAGGGACAGGCGGCUUCUAGCCGCACGAGAUUGAGCAAUAACAGGUCUGUGAUGCCCUUAGAUGUUCUGGGCCGCACGCGCGCUACACUGAAGGAAUCAGCGUGUCAUCCCUGGCCGAAAGGUCCGGGUAACCCGCUGAACCUCCUUCGUGCUAGGGAUUGGGGCUUGCAAUUGUUCCCCAUGAACGAGGAAUUCCCAGUAAGCGCGAGUCAUAAGCUCGCGUUGAUUACGUCCCUGCCCUUUGUACACACCGCCCGUCGCUACUACCGAUUGAAUGAUUUAGUGAGGUCUUCGGACCGGUGCGCCGCUCUGUUGUAUUCCGACAGGGCGGUAGUUGCUGGGAAGAUGACCAAACUUGAUCAUUUAGAGGAAGUAAAAGUCGUAACAAGGUUUCCGU
RNAcentral lists this ribosomal RNA (2038 nucleotides) under Torridincola sp. BT0146. Its description in RNAcentral is "SSU rRNA". It matches the Rfam family "Eukaryotic small subunit ribosomal RNA". Lineage: Eukaryota; Metazoa; Arthropoda; Insecta; Coleoptera; Torridincolidae. The record is from RNAcentral.